CCUACGGGAGGCAGCAGUGGGGAAUCUUGCGCAAUGGGCGAAAGCCUGACGCAGCCAUGCCGCGUGAAUGAUGAAGGUCUUAGGAUUGUAAAAUUCUUUCACCGGGGACGAUAAUGACGGUACCCGGAGAAGAAGCCCCGGCUAACUUCGUGCCAGCAGCCGCGGUAAUACGAAGGGGGCUAGCGUUGCUCGGAAUUACUGGGCGUAAAGGGAGCGUAGGCGGACAUUUAAGUCAGGGGUGAAAUCCCAGAGCUCAACUCUGGAACUGCCUUUGAUACUGGAUGUCUUGAGUGUGAGAGAGGUAUGUGGAACUCCGAGUGUAGAGGUGAAAUUCGUAGAUAUUCGGAAGAACACCAGUGGCGAAGGCGACAUACUGGCUCAUUACUGACGCUGAGGCUCGAAAGCGUGGGGAGCAAACAGGAUUAGAUACCCUGGUAGUCCACGCCGUAAACGAUGAUUGCUAGUUGUCGGGAUGUUUACAUCUCGGUGACGCAGCUAACGCAUUAAGCAAUCCGCCUGGGGAGUACGGUCGCAAAGAUUAAAAACUCAAAAUGAAGUUAGUACGGCGUGAGAGUGCCGAACGGACGACGACGAAGGGAGGAGGAG
This 606-nucleotide ribosomal RNA is filed under the name uncultured bacterium. Its description in RNAcentral is "bacterial SSU rRNA". It matches the Rfam family "Bacterial small subunit ribosomal RNA", at positions 338 to 1416 of the family's 1533-position model. The record is from RNAcentral.